Molecule: long non-coding RNA, 918 nt
Organism: Chelonia mydas (Green sea turtle)
Lineage: Eukaryota; Metazoa; Chordata; Testudines; Cheloniidae
Exons: 4
Source: RefSeq, a predicted model, not a curated record
GGAAAUCCCCCUCCCUCCGGACUGAGACACGGUGAUAGCAAGGCAUGGGGGAUGGGGGGUGUUGCCCAAAUCAAAGAUGGCUGAUAAGCAGGGCUGCGCAAGGCGGCUACUCCAACGCUUUCCACGGGUAUUCUGAGACUGUCCAGUUUGACCAAUGUACAUGGCAGAGGGGCAUUGCUGGCACAUGAUGGCAUAUAUCACAUUGAUUACAAAGACAGCAGGCAAAAUCUUUCAGAAUUACAACAGGGGUGGAGGCUAAAACAAAGGAAUGGAGCCCGAACCUCUGAGGAAUAUGCUAACGAGCCUCGCCAGCACAUCAGGUUUGGCAGUCGAGUUAUUCCUUAUGAUCCAAAGUGACAGUUAGGACUCUGACGAUGAUACAGACACGAGUAAUGCAUACGACACGAGAUUGCUUGUGGCAUUCACAGAUAUGCUCACCACCGUAGAACGGCACUUUUGUGCUCGGGGAAACAAGCGCUGAGUGGUGGGAUCACAUCGUCAUGCAAGUCUGGGGUGACGAGCAGUGGCUGCAGAACUUUCAGAUGAGAAAAGUCACUUUCAUGGGACUGUGUGAGGAGCUCGCCCCCACCCUGAGGCACAAGGACAUGAGAUUGAGAGCUGCCCUGACGGUGGAGAAGCGGGUGGCUAUUGCAGUCUGGAAGCUGGCAACUCCAGACAGCUACCGAUUGGUCGCUAACCAGUUUUGAGUGGGGAAGUUGACUGCUGGAAUCAUGUUGAUGCAAGUUUGCAGGGCCAUUAAUCCCAUCCUGCUCAGAAGAACCGUGACUUCGGAUAACGUGCAUGACGUUGUGGCUGGCUUUGCAAAAAUGGGUUUCCCUAACUGUGGAGGGGCGAUAGAUGGGAUGCAUAUUCCAAUUCUGGCACCAGCCCACCUAGCCUCCGAGUACGUUAAUUGAA